Molecule: ribosomal RNA, 492 nt
Filed under: uncultured bacterium
Lineage: Bacteria
Description: partial 16S ribosomal RNA
Rfam family: Bacterial small subunit ribosomal RNA
Source: RNAcentral
AGUGAACGCUGGCGGUAGGCCUAACACAUGCAAGUCGAACGGCAGCACAGUAAGGGCUUGCUCUUACGGGUGGCGAGUGGCGGACGGGUGAGGAAUACAUCGGAAUCUACUUUUUCGUGGGGGAUAACGUAGGGAAACUUACGCUAAUACCGCAUACGACCUACGGGUGAAAGCAGGGGAUCUUCGGACCUUGCGCGAUUGAAUGAGCCGAUGUCGGAUUAGCUAGUUGGCGGGGUAAAGGCCCACCAAGGCGACGAUCCGUAGCUGGUCUGAGAGGAUGAUCAGCCACACUGGAACUGAGACACGGUCCAGACUCCUACGGGAGGCAGCAGUGGGGAAUAUUGGACAAUGGGCGCAAGCCUGAUCCAGCCAUACCGCGUGGGUGAAGAAGGCCUUCGGGUUGUAAAGCCCCUUUGUUGGGAAAGAAAAGCAGCAGGUUAAUACCCCGCUGUUCUGACGGUACCCAAAGAAUAAGCACCGGCUAACUUCGUG